RNAcentral lists this small RNA (3747 nucleotides) under Pan troglodytes (chimpanzee). Its description in RNAcentral is "retained intron". The record is from RNAcentral. Lineage: Eukaryota; Metazoa; Chordata; Mammalia; Primates; Hominidae.
GUAUUGGGAAGGCAGAUAAAAUGCCAGGUCUGGACUGCCUCUGGGCAUAACCUCACCCUGUGGGAUGUGAAUGAAUAGCAUCUUGCCUGGUAAAUCCACAGGAAUUGAUAAGGCAGGCGCAGUUCUCCCAAACAGGCCUUUUCUCUUUAAGCUGUAGCUGUGGUUUCUGCAGCAAUUUUGUUUUUGCCUUGAAAGAGGUGCUCUGGAUUAUCAGACCUCCAUGUAUGACAAUUUGUACCUGCAUGGAAUUGAAGACUCGGAGGCUGAAGAAUAAUGUGAUGUGUUACCCAAGAUGGUGUGAACAGAGCUUCAAGCCAAUGGAGAAGACUAGGCCUAAAUAGCUGACCUGGUGAAGUGACACAUAAAGCCACACCUGGAGUGCCACCUCCUCAGCAGUCUUUCUCAGUGCCAAUGCAUUUAUGGCUGGUUCAGCGGAUUCCUACACAAGCAGGCCGUCUGACUCCGAUGUCUCUUUGGAAGAGGACCGGGAAGCAAUUCGACAGGAGAGAGAACAGCAAGCAGCUAUCCAGCUUGAGAGAGCAAAGUCCAAACCUGUAGCAUUUGCCGUGAAGACAAAUGUGAGCUACUGCGGCGCCCUGGAUGAGGAUGUGCCUGUUCCAAGCACAGCUAUCUCCUUUGAUGCUAAAGACUUUCUACAUAUUAAAGAGAAAUAUAACAAUGAUUGGUGGAUAGGAAGGCUGGUGAAAGAGGGCUGUGAAAUUGGCUUCAUUCCAAGUCCACUCAGAUUGGAGAACAUACGGAUUCAGCAAGAACAAAAAAGAGGACGUUUUCACGGAGGGAAAUCAAGUGGAAAUUCUUCUUCAAGUCUUGGAGAAAUGGUAUCUGGGACAUUUCGAGCAACUCCCACGUCAACAGGUGAGGGUUGUAGUUAAACUCUUUUUCAUACACUGUAUUCCUUUUAAAAAUAUUUGAACACACAUGCAAGUAUUUUUGCUAAUUUGGAAACAAUUUGAAGGCUUAAUUUAAAGAUUUCUCUAAUUAAUAUUUCAUUUCUCAUUUGUUUUCUAUGGUAAUUUGAUUUCAUUUAAAAUGGUAUUAAAAAUUCAUGUCAUUAGAAUAUAAUUUUGAAAAAUCUUAUUUACCCCUCAGAGUUAAUAACUGUCCAUUGUGUAAAUUGAUAUUCAAAAAAUUCAUUAUUUUACCUAAGAAGCGGACAGAGUUUAAGAUGGUGAAGGCCAAUAAAAAAAGGAAAAAAAUUAUGCAGACUCUCAAGAAAAUGCUGUUUUCAGUCUCCAUGUGGAAUUUCAGGAUGUAUUAGUACAGCCCGAGCUGAAAGGGUUGAAGCAGAGAGUAAGGCAGGGCCCAAAGGAGGGAGGGUCUCAUUUACAUUUGGACAGCAGACAGCCAAGCCCUGGAAUUAAUGGUAAUGAAGAGAUAUUGGUGGCCUAAUAGGGAGUUGUGGUACAUUUGGAAACGAUGGAGUUAUUCAUGUAGGAAUUUUUCUUCUACCACAUUCCCUGAUUCCUAUCGGCUAAUUUCAUUCUGGCCUAGAACUGCUGUUGCAUUAGGGCAUCCAGUGUCCUAGUUACCAAUUCCAAUUGUAUUACCAAUUUGGAAUGGCAAGUCCAAGGCCCUAUUCUGGCCUACCAAAACUGGAGGCAACUGGAUUGGUUCUGGAGUGGUUCUAAGUGUCUGGGUCCUUGUUCAUGUGAAGCCCUCUUAUCUACAGGACACUGAACCAAACCAGGUUUCUGAGUUGUACCCAACUAGACUGGAGCUGCUUGGAUGUCCACAGAAUCGCUUUAAAUCAGUUAUUGAGUAUAUUUUGCUUCGUUCCCAUUUGUUGGACAUUCAGGACAUUGAACACUUUAGCUAUUACAAACAGGAAAGAACAGGAAUAACUCAUUAUAAAUUUAUCUGAGGAAUAACUGGUUAUAAAUGUAUUUGAAAUUUAAAAGCAAGAUAGUAGGGAAAAUGUGCCAAUAUUCUAGAAAAUGGGCAAAAAUGCCCAAGGGACUGCAGAAUUAUGAGUUAACAAAUAUAAAAAUAACUAUUGAUUGAGGUGAUAGUCAUUUUUGCCCAAGUGGUUAUUCUGUUUCCUUUUAUGAAAUUGCAUUUGUCUACCUUGUUCCCAGCAACACUGUGCUGUGUCCAGCACGGGAACAACCCAUGGUGAAUGGCUGGCCCGGAACUUCCAGUGUUGCUCUCAACUCCUGUACCCAACUCCCACCCAGUGAGAAAUCAGGAUAUAAGGUCAUUUGUACCAGGGAGGAAGCUGUCUGUUUUUCAUACAUCUUCAAAAUUGACGUGUCCAGAAUGAAAUCAUAAGGCAGGUUCUCCAAAGUGGGCGAUAGGAAGGUGGUGAAGAUAAUUACAGGGACAAAUGGGUACAUUCUUCCAUCUUUUAAACUCAUGUACUGUCAUUUGCAGAGAUUACAUAUUUUGAUAUGGCUCUCAUUAUUGUCUUUUAGCAAAACAGAAGCAAAAAGUGGUAAGUUGUGUUUCCUUUUUAAAUCUACUGUUAAGGUUCCUAUAUAUACAUGCCUGCAAUGCUCCAUUUCAGUGACCCAAGUGGCUAUAAAAUAAGGGAAGAGCCUCCUCGGUGGGGACUUCGAUAAUCAUUUGUCGUUCAACCUGAGAAUUAUGAAUGUUGUGGCUGUGGAGAGGCAUGCUCAACCUCACCUUGUCACGCGUGUCGAAUCAUCUUUUUCAGACGGAGCACAUUCCUCCUUACGAUGUUGUGCCGUCAAUGCGUCCGGUGGUGUUAGUGGGGCCGUCACUGAAAGGUUACGAGGUAACAGACAUGAUGCAGAAAGCCCUCUUUGAUUUCCUGAAGCACAGGUUUGAUGGGAGGAUAUCAAUAACGAGAGUGACAGCUGACAUUUCUCUUGCUAAGAGGUCUGUCCUAAAUAAUCCCAGCAAGAGAGCAAUAAUUGAACGUUCGAACACCCGGUCCAGCUUAGCGGAAGUACAAAGUGAAAUUGAAAGAAUCUUUGAGUUGGCAAGAUCUUUGCAACUGGUCGUUCUUGAUGCAGACACCAUCAAUCACCCAGCACAACUUAUAAAGACUUCCUUAGCACCAAUUAUUGUUCAUGUAAAAGUCUCAUCUCCAAAGGUUUUACAGCGGUUGAUUAAAUCUAGAGGAAAGUCACAAAGUAAACACUUGAAUGUUCAACUGGUGGCAGCUGAUAAACUUGCACAAUGCCCCCCAGAAAUGUUUGAUGUUAUAUUGGAUGAAAAUCAGCUUGAGGAUGCGUGUGAACAUCUAGGGGAGUACCUGGAGGCGUACUGGCGUGCCACCCACACAACCAGUAGCACACCCAUGACCCCGCUGCUGGGAAGGAAUUUGGGCUCCACGGCACUCUCACCAUAUCCCACAGCAAUUUCUGGGUUACAGAGUCAGCGAAUGAGGCACAGCAACCACUCCACAGAGAACUCUCCAAUUGAAAGACGAAGUCUAAUGACCUCUGAUGAAAAUUAUCACAAUGAAAGGGCUCGGAAGAGUAGGAACCGCUUGUCUUCCAGUUCUCAGCAUAGCCGAGAUCAUUACCCUCUUGUGGAAGAAGAUUACCCUGACUCAUACCAGGACACUUACAAACCCCAUAGGAACCGAGGAUCACCUGGGGGAUAUAGCCAUGACUCCCGACAUAGGCUUUGAGUCUAAUGAAACAAAAAAUAUUCAUCUGUUGACAAUUUGCCAUAGCAGUGCUAGGAUAAACCAAUCAUCUUAACUUGGCUAACAUAGCACAGUAUUUACUGUGCUAAUGGGCUGCUGUCAUUUUAUGC